UAAUAGGAUCACCUACACUUAAG
Molecule: small nuclear RNA, 23 nt
Filed under: Arabidopsis thaliana (thale cress)
Lineage: Eukaryota; Viridiplantae; Streptophyta; Magnoliopsida; Brassicales; Brassicaceae
Description: snRNA_07775
Source: RNAcentral